AGUCUGUGUUUUGUCGCCUAAUGUUGUUAUUCACCGGUAACCGUUUCUUGUAGAGAAAAAUGCCGUAUAAUCUCUGUUCAAAAGAAGUUUUUAUGAGUUUUGGAAGUUGAAUUUGUUAAGCAAGAGUAUGAUAUCGUGCAAUGAGUUCACUUUUUACUUCCCUGGAUUGCAAAAUCGGUGGCUGAUCGUGAGGACAUGGAUUGAAUCACUAUCAGGCAUUUGCAUGUAGGAUUGAUUCCAUCCUGCACUCUACUAAUGUUCCUCAUCGAAUGUUCUUUCACUCCGACAAAUCAACAGUAGUAACACGCAAAACUGACUAUCGAAUGGGACAGGGACCUAAAUUUAAUGUCAACUUGUKUGGCAAGUGGAAAGUUCGACAAAGCAAUACCUAAAUGUAAAGUUUUCAGAUUGUAAAUUGGUAUCUUAAAGAGAAAAGAGUUUGAAGAACGGAGAAGUCUUGAAGGUUUGUAGGAAGUAAUCACUCUUUAUGUAGUUUGGAGACAGAUGGUGAAGAGCAUUAAAAGUGAGUAAUAGGAACUUGUAUUUUAUACGUUCUGAUACAGGUAGCCAGUGAAGAUUCUUUAAAAUUGGAGUGAUAUGGUCGUGUUUUCUGGAGAGAGUUAGCAGUCAGGUAGCAGCAUUCUGAAUAGAUUGGACCUUGUCAAUAGAACAUUUAGGAAGACCAAACAAAAGAGAGUUACAAUUGUCAAUUUUCGAUGUUAUAAAAGCAUGWAUCAGUUUCUCAGUGGUAGUGAAAGAAGUGAAAGAAAGAAAUCUUUGUAUUCUGGAAAUAUUCUUGAGAUGGUAGAAAGCAGACUUUGAUAGUUGUUUGAUUUUUGUAACCAUGGAAAGAGUCGAGUCAAACAUUACACCAAUGUUUCUUGUAAGGGGGGACAGAGAGAUAACAUCAGAACCAAAUUGGAUUGAAGGAUAUAAAAUUAAAACCAAAAGAAACUAUAAUUACAAGUAAUAGAUUUAAGUACACAAACUAACAUACUUAAAUAAUGUAUCAUGAAAAUGUAAAAUUAGGAUUUAAGGAUUUAUAUUGUCUUAGAAUUAACUUUACKAAAAUUACUAUUCACCUGGACUCAUGACCAUCAUAACCAAUAGACCUCCUUGGCUGGGGCGUAAUGUUUUCCUAUUUAAAACCUUGUGAAAUUCCCUAGAGUAUCAUUUCUUUGUUUAACUUUGUUUUUCUCAGUUGCAAAUUAAAACGAAGAUUCAAUUCAAACAAAGUAUCAUAUUCUCAGGGGAAUGACACAUGGUCUGAAAUGGGAAGUCAUUAUGCCCAAGCCGACAAGGUCUAUUCAGCAUGCAUGCAUGCUUCUUCAGUUAAUCAAUCUCACUGUUAAGACAGCUGCUUGAAAUUUUUUUAAGUGCAUAAUAUUGUAAUGUUUAAAAUAUGARCAAUAACCAGCGUGAGUGAUUGUAUGGCAGAUACAACGAGGACACAAAUGUUGUAAUCUACUUAUCAUAUUCAUCUUUAAUGAAGAUACUGAUUUCUGAAGAAUACAUUUCAAAAGUAAUGUCAU
This is a long non-coding RNA of Actinia tenebrosa (Australian red waratah sea anemone), 1532 nucleotides long. NCBI's taxonomy places the organism in Eukaryota, Metazoa, Cnidaria, Anthozoa, Actiniaria, Actiniidae. The record is from RefSeq and is a predicted model, not a curated record.